GGUUACCCGCGACAGGACGGAAAGACCCCAUGGAUUUACUGUAGUUUGAUAUUGAGUGUCUGUACCGCAUGUACAGGAUAGGUAGGAGCCGUAGAAAUCGGAACGCUAGUUUCGAUGGAGGCGCUGGUGGGAUACUACCCCUGCGUUAUGGCCACUCUAACCCGCACCACUAAUCGUGGUGGGAGACAGUGUCAGAUGGGUCAGUUUGGACUGGGGCGGUCGCCUCCUAAAGGUAACGGAGGCGCCCAAAGGUUCCCUCAGAAUGGUUGGAAAUCA
RNAcentral lists this ribosomal RNA (276 nucleotides) under Enterococcus faecium. RNAcentral describes it as "partial 23S ribosomal RNA". It matches the Rfam family "Bacterial large subunit ribosomal RNA", at positions 2064 to 2340 of the family's 2925-position model. The record is from RNAcentral. Lineage: Bacteria; Bacillati; Bacillota; Bacilli; Lactobacillales; Enterococcaceae.